Long non-coding RNA from Cyanistes caeruleus (blue tit), 752 nucleotides. RefSeq lists it as uncharacterized. Lineage: Eukaryota; Metazoa; Chordata; Aves; Passeriformes; Paridae. The record is from RefSeq and is a predicted model, not a curated record.
GAGGGCGGUUGCCGUGGCGACAGGGCGGCCUCCGGGGCGAGGAUGCUGCGGCUUGUAGCGGGGUGUGCCCGGGCUGUAGCGGGACGCACCCGGCUGUAGCUUGGCUGGAGCCCUCUGGAGCGGGGGUGGUUGCAGCAGAAUGGGUCUGGCUGUACCAGGGGUGGGUGUACUGGGAUUGGACCCAGCUGUAGCAGGAUGCAUCCAGCCGUAUCUUGGCUGGGCCCGGCCGGGACUGGCUGCACCAGGUCCUGCAUCACCUCAUGCCCUCCUGCACAAAGGCACCGUCUGCUCCCCUCCCCAGCACAACACGGAGCCUGCACCGGGCCACCGGGUUCCUCCUUCUCGUCUUCAUCAUCCUUCUCUCCCUUGAGCUUCUGGCGAGCAAAUUCCUCGAUGACAAUGUCCUCCUCGCUGGAAGGGAGAGCAGAGCACAGUGAGGCCACAGGAGGAGGGGAAAUCCCUGCUGAGCCCAAACCCUGCUCCAAAUGGGGACAGAGCAGUGGUCACCCCAUCCCUGUCACCCCACUCAGAACACUGCACACAAACCCAGGCCCCACCAAGGACCUGGGCCUGCAGCUUCUGGUGGCUUUUUACACAAUAUUUUGCAUUUCCAAGGGAAAACAAGGAAAGGAAAACAAAGAGCUGGGUUACCUCCUUGAGAAAGGCGGGCAGUGAGUGACAGCAAGGGAGAGCACAAAGUGAAAAGUAGGGGAGAAAACAGUAAAAAAGAGUCAGCAAAAGACAUUCCAAAA